RNAcentral lists this ribosomal RNA (986 nucleotides) under uncultured Symbiodinium. RNAcentral's name for it is "partial Bacterial small subunit ribosomal RNA". It matches the Rfam family "Bacterial small subunit ribosomal RNA", at positions 557 to 1521 of the family's 1533-position model. The record is from RNAcentral. Lineage: Eukaryota; Dinophyceae; Suessiales; Symbiodiniaceae.
GGCCUAAAGCUGUGGUAAAUAGGUCUGAAUGUGCGGCUAAAUAUGGGGGUCCGGAAAGUUUAAUCCCAGGCCAAAAUUGUACAAUUCUAGACUCUUUGGUGGUGUAAAAAUGUUAAUAGGAAUAGUUAAAUGUAAGGAUAAUUGGUAGCUUAUUUCUUUGAUAUUGGUUUCAUCUGGUCCAAAUAUAGAUAUUCUAUUCACGAAAACUUGAGGUGUGACAGGGAUUAGAUACCCCAUUAAUUCAAGUGAUAAAUCAUGGCUUAUUGUAGACUGGAUCUAUUUUUAACAUGUGAUCUUUAUCAACUUAAGGAGGAGGCUUUCAUUUUGGAAACUUAAGUGUUCUGGUGGUGAUUUAGAACAAUAGUGGAAUAGAUGAUUUAAUUCGAUGUUAUGCGAUAAAGCUUAUCUGUUACUCACUUCAAUACCUCUCAUUUGGUAGAAUUCUAUCCAUUAGUAGUGCAUGGCUGCUCUCAGCUAAUGUUUUGUAAUAUCUGCUUCAGUUCAGGAAUAGGCCCUAAAACUAUUUGCUGUGUAAGUGUAAACACAACUCAGACAAUAACUGUGGACAUGUGUGCAUGCAGUUAUGUGUGGACUUUAGCAUGCAACCAAUCCCAAUCCCAGUCAAUAAGAUCGAGUUAGAUAGAAUAAGGUCGAGUCAUUAUGCUCUUUUUUCAGAGAUAUUCAUGUGUUACAAAGUUUGCCACUAGAUAUCUUACUACAUGAGGCCCCAAUCUUUUCACACAUGAGAAAAGGUUAGUGAAAAGGUUAUCAUCCGAAUUGAAAACUGAAAUGUCUUCAUGAAGGAGGAAUUAUUUGGAAUCUUUGGUUAGUUACUUAAAGGUGAACAGGAGAUAAAUUUUGCACAUACUGCCCGUCAAGCAAAAAGCAGAGAUGUAGAUUUAAACAGACCUUUGUAAAAUUGUAAAAUUCGCAUUCUAAUUUGUGUUAAGUCGAAACAUGGUAGCUCAUCAGGAAUGACGAGCUGG